CCCUCACCCAAUCCACUCGCCCACACGCCCAUCCCUCCCUGCCUCCUCGAUCUCUCUCCCUCAUCAGCCGCAAUGGCACGAAGCAACAAACCCUAGCCCCCUUUCCCACGGCUGUUGCGCCCCGACCCCUUCCUCCACCCCCCUCCCCGAUCCCCAUGGUCGCCGUCCCUCUCACUCCUCCUGCCUCAUCAAGACAGCCACCACGUCCAUCCCUCCUUAGGCGCCAUGGCGGCGGUCGGGCCGGAGCGGGGGCGGAAAGCCGUGGGGAGUCCGCCUGCAGGAGGAAGCAGUAUAGGGGCUGAUGGAGCGACGGAUGCGAUCCACCGCCUCCUAGGUGCUCAUCCGCCCUGGCUCGUGAGGAAGCAGCGGGACGAGGGAUGAGCUCAACUGGGCGCAUCGGAGAAAGAGGGAAGGAGCGGAUACCAGCCAGGAGGCUGCUCGGCUCAGUCCAGCCAUGGAGCUGGCGCUGCGGACUCCCUGCUAGCCUCCUUCAUCUUCAUGUGGAUUUAGGUGGCACACUAGAUGUUGCACCACCGAUGGCAGCAGCCAGAUUUGGCGUUCGUGAUGCAAUGGCUUGGUGUUGCCCUUGCUUGAUGGUGCUGGAUAUGUCAAUAAACUGAUCGUGGAUUAUCUCCAACUGUGUACUACCUCUCUCGCUCUCAAUGGUGACGCAGAUCUCCUUUUGAUCGAUAUGCCAUUGUUUCGUGCAGCGGGUUGAGGUUCGGGUGUGCUUGUGCAGAUAGUCGAUGGGGCUCUUGGCCUUCUAGCUAUAGACUGAUUGACAAGCAUGGUUCAUUGUUAUUUCCUUCCUUAAUAGGUAAUGGCACUACACCUAUCUCAGUUCUCUAUAGACAUCACUCCUAUUUCUAGCCAUCAGUUCUGUGUCUAGCCAUCAGUUUUUGUUUCAGUAGCAAAUAACCAAAAUGAAUGGAUAUUAUUUGCUGUAGUAUUGUAAGGGAAGCAGGUUCUCCAAAUAAAUGUGGAAGAUUGCAGCAUGAAGGGUAUCACUUCACCGGAUUUUUCUACUUCUUGGUGGGCAGCUAAAUUAGUUUCCUUGGUCCGUUUCUCAACUUAUCAUAGAAGAACUCUUUAUCUCUGUAAUUUUCUCUUUAUUAGCGCUGAAGGCAUAGAUCAAGUGCUACAUGGCUAUGCUCUUAGGAGCUUAGAGCAUCAGUGGUUGGCCUCCUUUCUAUUUGUUAUUUUUUCUAGGAUUUGCGUGUGUUAAUCGGAUGAAUAUAUGGAAGGAUACAGAGAGGCCAGAGGUAUAUAUUCUUCUACCAAUAAAAAUCAUUCCAUUCUUUUCUUCACUCGAUUAAAAUAAUUUGGUCGAUCGUAGGAAGUUCCACUAUUUAUGUGUACUGCUCUCAAUAAAACAUAGGCUAGAAAAGUUCCCUUCAGUAUGCAUUCUCAUGUUAUUAAAACAUUUUUGUGGUGCAGUCUGUUAGGCAAACUCUGUUUUCCAGUCAACAGUUUUUACCUGCUUUUCAAUGCAUGUAAUACUGCUGACUUCUCUUCAAGUCCUAGCUGGUUUGUGUGCAUUUUAUGGUUCAGUGUAUCAUUGCAAGAGUUUAUGGUUCAGUGUAUCACUGCAUGUUCCUAACACCGACAAAUUUUAAUGUUUUUUGUAUUUUUUUCGAUGCAAGCCUAUUCUUCGACUAUAAGACAAUAGAGAUUUCCUAUUAAGUCUAAUCUUUUUUGGGUGCAUUACAGAGUUUGCUAUCAAAUUCUAAAGCAGCAAGAAGAUAGCCAGCCUAAAUGAAUCAAGACAUGAACAAGUGUCGAGAAGUUACGGAUGCAGAAGUGCAACUGGUAUCGCCUCUAUUUUUUUUGUCUCAAAUCAACCGCAGAAAAAACUACUGGAUAAUCAUCUUGCCACUUUAUAAUUGGCUUACUGCUAUGAUCCUGGUGUUAUUUGCUAUGAGAAAAACGAGAGGUUCAAUGUGCGCCUCAUAUCAUCACAUCAAAUGGAAUAAUUGGAUAGGCUUAUGUAUCAUCAUAUCUGCACACAUAAUCUCUUUUAUGAUUGUUUACCUCUUCAGUCUACUAUUCUUAGAUGAUGAACUUCUGCUCUUUUAUGCCAAGUAGUUAAAUUUGUGUGCAUGUUCUCAUGGAUCAUACUUAGAUUUUGCAACUGUGGCCCAUAGGGCCAUGCUAAUUAGUCCUGGCCAUGAUCAGGAGUAAAUUUAUACAAAUUUUAAUUUGCAUGGUAUUUUGUCCAGCACCAAAGGCACCAAUGGUGCUAUUGUUAUGCUUAUUUUUCACUUGAUAAGAAAAUAUACGUACAAAAUCUGCUUGAAGUUGUAACUGUAACUGUACGUCUGCAUUGGAUAAUUUCUUGGACUCGUGUACAGUAGCUUGCAGGAUCUUUUCAGAAGCAGCCCAUAGGAAGUAUAAUCAGGCAUCUUCAGCUGCAAAAGUUUCAUUCAGCAGGCUUUUCCAUGUUGCUAUAUCUGGAUGGUCCGAGUUUCAAAAGAUUUUCUUAGAGACGUUAGGUAAAUUUGGCUAUAAUGGCCCUCCACAUAGUAGGAAUGAUCCUGCAAAAUUCCUAUGUAUGCUUGCCUAUGUCUCAGUUUCAGUUGAAUUUAUACAUACCGUCUAGCUCAUUUUGGUGCCUCUUUUUUGGAAUUCCUAGCAUUUUCUGACCUAUGUGGGUUUUCUCUUAUAAUCUGAGGAGUCCUUAAAAUUGUCGAUAAUAUUAUAAAAUACUAAUUGAUAAUAGAAGAGUUCAAGGGUUUACCACGUUCUGCAAUUAUCUUUCAUUAGGAACCAAGACGGCAAUCCUCCAAACUUUUCAGCAAUUUCCUAUGUUUUUUCGCAUGUAGGCAUAAUAAAAAGUUUAUAGAAACACUAUUUAAUUUUUAAGGCCUCCUUAACUAGUUUACACAUGUUGUUAGGUAUAUGUAUAUUUUUAGGACCAUAAAUAUGUGUUUUUUUGAACUGAAAUAUGUGUUUCUAAACACACACCAAAGUAUAUUUUUUUACGGCAUAAGGAUCUAAAUUCUUGGCGUCGGUAUUUGCUCAAACAGGAGAUUACUAAAAAAAAUACAUGUAUUUUCAAGGUGGCAUAAUUUUGAAUGGGGCUUUGUGCUACCAAACUAAAAUGUGUACAUUCAUCUCAUUACUCUCUCUGUUCGGUAAUAUAAGUCUUUUUUAGAAAUUUCAAUAUGGAUUGCAUACGGAUGUAUAUAGACAUAGUUUAGAGUGUAGAUUCACUUAUUUUGCUCCGUAUGUAGUUCAUAGUGGAAUCUCUUAAAAGACUUAUAUUUAGAAAUGAAGGGUUUAGACAACAAGCCACUGUUUUUUCUCUUGUUAAAGGAAAUUAAAUUUGCUUCAUAUGUGCUUGCCCACAACUAAUAAACCAAUUAAAUCAUGGAUUUUGUUUUGAAUACAACUCUGUGCUACCAAACUAAUAUGUGUGUCUACAUCUCAUUGUAGACAACAGACC
This 3445-nucleotide ribosomal RNA is filed under the name Triticum aestivum (bread wheat). Its description in RNAcentral is "partial small subunit ribosomal RNA". The record is from RNAcentral. Lineage: Eukaryota; Viridiplantae; Streptophyta; Magnoliopsida; Poales; Poaceae.